CCUACGGGAGGCAGCAGUGGGGAAUAUUGCACAAUGGAGGAAACCCUGAUGCAGCAACGCCGCGUGAGUGAGGAAGUAUUUCGGUAUGUAAAGCUCUAUCAGCCGGGAAUAGAGAAGAAGGUACCUGAAAAAGAAGCCCCGGCGAACUACGUGCCAGAAGCCGCGGUCAUAAGUAGGGGGCAAGCGUUAUCCGUAUUUACUGGGUGUAAAGGGAUCGGAGACGGAAAGGCAAGUCAGAGGUGAAAACCCAAGGCUCAACCAGGGGACUGCAUUUGAAACUGUCAAACUAGAGUACGGGAGAGGUAAGAGGAACUCCUAGUGUAGCGGUGAAAUGCGUAGAUAUUAGGAGGAACACCAGUGGCGAAGGCAGCUUACUGGACCGAAACUGACGUUGAGGCUCGAAAGCGUGGGGAGCAAACAGGAUUAGAUACCCUGGUAGUC
This 441-nucleotide ribosomal RNA is filed under the name uncultured bacterium. RNAcentral's name for it is "partial 16S ribosomal RNA". It matches the Rfam family "Bacterial small subunit ribosomal RNA", at positions 338 to 795 of the family's 1533-position model. The record is from RNAcentral.